AGCUCCAAUAGCGUAUAUUAAAGUUGUUGCAGUUAAAAAGCUCGUAGUUGGAUUUGUGGUGUGACUUGUGGGUGGGUGGACUAGUUUCACCUUUCUGUACGGGUCUGCCUUUUAUGGGAUUGUUGGCUUGGUGGCAUUAGGUUGUCGCUAAGUCGGUGCCCAUCUUUUACUGUGAAAAAAUUAGAGUGUUCAAAGCAGGCUUACGCCGUUGAAUAUGUUAGCAUGGAAUAAUGAUAUAGGCCUUCGGUACUAUUUUGUUGGUUUGCGUACCGCAGGAAUGAUUAAUAGGGACAGUUGGGGGUAUUCGUAUUCCAUUGUCAGAGGUGAAAUUCUUGGAUUUUUGGAAGACGAACUACUGCGAAAGCAUUUACCAAGGAUGUUUUCA
Molecule: ribosomal RNA, 385 nt
Filed under: uncultured eukaryote
Lineage: Eukaryota
Description: SSU rRNA
Rfam family: Eukaryotic small subunit ribosomal RNA
Source: RNAcentral